This 497-nucleotide ribosomal RNA is filed under the name uncultured bacterium. RNAcentral's name for it is "partial 16S ribosomal RNA". It matches the Rfam family "Bacterial small subunit ribosomal RNA", at positions 28 to 507 of the family's 1533-position model. The record is from RNAcentral.
GAUGACCGCUGGCGGCGUGCCUAAUAAAUGCAAGUCGAGCGAACGGUCGAGAAGCUUGCUCCUCUGAUGUUAGCGGCGGACGGGUGAGUAACACGUGGAUAACCUACCUAUAAGCCUGGGAUCACUUCGGGAACCCGUAGCUAAUACCGGAUAAUAUUUUGAACCGCCUGGUUCAAAAGUGAAAGACGGUCUUGCUGUCACGUAUAGAUGGAUCCGCGCUGCAUUAGCUAGUUGUUAAGGUAACGGCUUACCAAGGCAACGAUGCAUAGCCGACCUGCGGGGGUGAUCGGCCACACUGGAACUGAGCCACCGCCCAGACUCCUACGAGAGGCAGCAGUCGCGAAUCUUCCGCAAAGGGCGAAAGCCUGACGUAGCCACACCGCGUGUGUGAUGAAGGUCUACGGAUCGGAAAACUCUGUUAUUAGGGAAGAACAUAUGUGUAAGUAACUGUGCACAUCAUGACGGUACAUAAUCAGAAAGCCACGGCUAACUACAUG